This 482-nucleotide ribosomal RNA is filed under the name uncultured bacterium. RNAcentral's name for it is "bacterial SSU rRNA". It matches the Rfam family "Bacterial small subunit ribosomal RNA", at positions 30 to 506 of the family's 1533-position model. The record is from RNAcentral.
UUGAACGCUGGCGGCAUGCCUUACACAUGCAAGUCGAACGGCAGCACGGGAGCAAUCCUGGUGGCGAGUGGCGAACGGGUGAGUAAUAUAUCGGAACGUACCCAGACGUGGGGGACAACUAGUCGAAAGACUAGCUAAUACCGCAUACGUCCUGAGGGAGAAAGCGGGGGAUCGCAAGACCUCGCGCGUUUGGAGCGGCCGAUAUCUGAUUAGCUAGAUGGUGGGGUAAAGGCUCACCAUGGCGACGAUCAGUAGCUGGUCUGAGAGGAUGAUCAGCCACACUGGAACUGAGACACGGUCCAGACUCCUACGGGAGGCAGCAGUGGGGAAUUUUGGACAAUGGGGGAAACCCUGAUCCAGCCAUUCCGCGUGAGUGAAGAAGGCCUUCGGGUUGUAAAGCUCUUUCGGCAGGAACGAAACGGCGGAAUCUAAUACAUUCCACUAAUGACGGUACCUGAAGAAGAAGCACCGGCUAACUACGU